GGGAUAUUUGGUUUCCAUAGUGAAACUGCAUCCGAUCUCAGCUAUACAAUUGCACGGAACAAAGGCAAGAGUCCCAGCCAGUGGCAGAUGGAGAAGACAAUCCCACUAGAUUCUGGGUACAGAUAUUUUAUCAGAGAUGCAACGCAGAGGUACUUGCUCUUGGCAAGGAUAGAAGCCUCAUCUCUGAAUCCACUUGUUGGACAUUUGUCAAUGGAUGUCAAGACGGUGCAGCUUCAGAAGAUUUAUGAGAAAGAGUACUAUCAUAAGUAUGCUACAUGCACGUAUAUCAACUUUGCACCAUCAUUGUUGUCUUCAAGGAGAAUAUGA
This 327-nucleotide ribosomal RNA is filed under the name Triticum aestivum (bread wheat). RNAcentral's name for it is "partial small subunit ribosomal RNA". The record is from RNAcentral. Lineage: Eukaryota; Viridiplantae; Streptophyta; Magnoliopsida; Poales; Poaceae.